This 484-nucleotide ribosomal RNA is filed under the name uncultured bacterium. Its description in RNAcentral is "partial 16S ribosomal RNA". It matches the Rfam family "Bacterial small subunit ribosomal RNA", at positions 30 to 507 of the family's 1533-position model. The record is from RNAcentral.
AUUGAACGCUGGCGGCAGGCCUAACACAUGCAAGUCGAGCGGAUGAAGGGAGCUUGCUCCUGGAUUCAGCGGCGGACGGGUGAGUAAUGCCUAGGAAUCUGCCUGGUAGUGGGGGAUAACGUCCGGAAACGGGCGCUAAUACCGCAUACGUCCUGAGGGAGAAAGUGGGGGAUCUUCGGACCUCACGCUAUCAGAUGAGCCUAGGUCGGAUUAGCUAGUUGGUGGGGUAAAGGCCUACCAAGGCGACGAUCCGUAACUGGUCUGAGAGGAUGAUCAGUCACACUGGAACUGAGACACGGUCCAGACUCCUACGGGAGGCAGCAGUAGGGAAUAUUGGACAAUGGGCGAAAGCCUGAUCCGGCCAUGCCGCGCGUGUGAAGAAGGUCUUCGGAUUGUAAAGCACUUUAAGUUGGGAGGAAGGGCAGUAAGUUAAUACCUUGCUGUUUUGACGUUACCAACAGAAUAAGCACCGGCUAACUUCGUG